UGGGGAAUAUUGCGCAAUGGGCGAAAGCCUGACGCAGCGACGCCGCGUGAGGGAUGAAGGUUUUCGGAUCGUAAACCUCUGUCAGAAGGGAAGAAACCGCACUGUUCUAAUCAGCAGUGCCUUGACGGUACCUUCAAAGGAAGCACCGGCUAACUCCGUGCCAGCAGCCGCGGUAAUACGGAGGGUGCAAGCGUUAAUCGGAAUUACUGGGCGUAAAGCGCACGUAGGCUGCUUUGUAAGUCAGGGGUGAAAUCCAACGGCUCAACCGUGGAACUGCCUUUGGUACUGCUUAGCUUGAAUCCGGGAGAGGGUGGCGGAAUUCCAGGUGUAGGAGUGAAAUCCGUAGAUAUCUGGAGGAACAUCAGUGGCGAAGGCGGCCACCUGGACCGGUAUUGACGCUGAGGUGCGAAAGCGUGGGGAGCAAACAGG
This 429-nucleotide ribosomal RNA is filed under the name Fusobacteriota bacterium. RNAcentral describes it as "Fusobacteria bacterium partial 16S ribosomal RNA". It matches the Rfam family "Bacterial small subunit ribosomal RNA", at positions 355 to 776 of the family's 1533-position model. Lineage: Bacteria; Fusobacteriati; Fusobacteriota. The record is from RNAcentral.